Molecule: long non-coding RNA, 543 nt
Filed under: Delphinapterus leucas (beluga whale)
Lineage: Eukaryota; Metazoa; Chordata; Mammalia; Artiodactyla; Monodontidae
Description: lncRNA (ENSDLEG00000014704.1)
Source: RNAcentral
AUGCAGCAGUGCAGCGCCCGACCCGCUCCGCCCUCACACUCACCAGUCCUCGGGCCCCGCCCGGCCAGCCCAGGCGCAGCUCCGAGGCGGCGGACAAGGCGCCCGAGCACGAUCGGAAGAGCCGCGCAGCCCUGCCCUCAGGCGCACGGCGGCGGGCGGCGCCGCUCUAGCCCUCACGCUCCCGUGCGCUCCGCCAGGCCAGCCCCACUCCCUCCCCGCGCGCCCUGUGCCCUGCCUGCCAGGCCCCCAACCCAGGCUUGGCGGCCACACUCACCGCCUCGCUCCGCGCCUGCGCCGCACGCCUCAGGGGCCCGCUGUGAGGGCGGGGAGGUGACUAGUGGUGAAACCACGCAGCGGUCCUGGGAAGGAGAUCAUUUUGCCCGCCAGCGCCGGCGCCUUCAUUCCACUAGCGUUGUGCCCUGGCAGCGAGGAACUUUUGAUUUGCGCUGGCAGCUGGACAUCAGCUCUCUGUUGACUAAGACAACUCUACUGAGAACCAACUUACAGAAAAGUCAAAAACCGGAAAGACAUAAUUAUUUAUGA